CCUACGGGUGGCAGCAGUGGGGAAUAUUGCACAAUGGGCGCAAGCCUGAUGCAGCCAUGCCGCGUGUGUGAAGAAGGCCUUCGGGUUGUAAAGCACUUUCAGCGGGGAGGAAGGCGGUGAGGUUAAUAACCUCAUCGAUUGACGUUACCCGCAGAAGAAGCACCGGCUAACUCCGUGCCAGCAGCCGCGGUAAUACGGAGGGUGCAAGCGUUAAUCGGAAUUACUGGGCGUAAAGCGCACGCAGGCGGUCUGUCAAGUCGGAUGUGAAAUCCCCGGGCUCAACCUGGGAACUGCAUUCGAAACUGGCAGGCUAGAGUCUUGUAGAGGGGGGUAGAAUUCCAGGUGUAGCGGUGACAUGCGUAGAGAUCUGGAGGAAUACCGGUGGCGAAGGCGGCCCCCUGGACAAAGACUGACGCUCAGGUGCGAAAGCGUGGGGAGCAAACAGGAUAGAUACCCCGGUAGUC
RNAcentral lists this ribosomal RNA (464 nucleotides) under uncultured Klebsiella sp. Its description in RNAcentral is "bacterial SSU rRNA". It matches the Rfam family "Bacterial small subunit ribosomal RNA", at positions 338 to 795 of the family's 1533-position model. Lineage: Bacteria; Pseudomonadati; Pseudomonadota; Gammaproteobacteria; Enterobacterales; Enterobacteriaceae. The record is from RNAcentral.